GGGUUUCUGACUGGAAUGGUAGUCAGCAGUCCACAAUUUCUUUUUUCAGCUGUCUAAUGAGUGCAGCAGAUUUGAAAAUUGGUGUUAAUCUCUUGCUUUGGGCCUUCACUACAAGCUUUACAAAACUUCUCCAAAGCACAGUCACAGCACAAUUAUGCACCUGCAGCACACCAUUUAUUUAGUGAGGCAUCCCUAUGCCUGUAUGCUUUAAACACUGGAUGAAAAACAUUUUGGUUUGACUGUAAACCUCUGUCAACAAAGAACUUGUAUGCUGCUUAAGUUUUCUCUGGGCAGUUUUUGCUAUGCAAAUGUUAAUUGUCAGGCUCUUUGUUACUUUAGCUACAUAGACAAUUCAAUGCUGUUUCUGGUUUUAUAUGACUGUGAAAAUUGCCUCACAAAAUUUACUAAAGCUUUAGCACAGAAAUCAUCUGCUCUUCAGUAGCUUCACUCUCAUUAUUGCCAUUAGAAAAACGAAGAGAAAACACAGAAGCCUAGCUCAUGAAACAAGCAGGUGAACAGAAAAAAAGCACACAGCAAAAGGUCAUUACAGGAUAUAGAGGCUGAUUUAAUAAGGAGAGAUAACUGUUUUUCUAGCUGAACAAAAAUAAAAAAAGUUACAUGCAAUUGCAGAUCUGCUGCAAAAAUUUAUUUCAACUAUGCAUCUUGGACAGAAAAUAUUCAAAUACAUCCUGAAAACUUCAAGCUGAUUUCAGCACAGUUUCUACAAUACUCCUCAGGUUCUCUCAGAAGAACUGGGCUGACUAUGGAAAUGUUCUGGGAAAACCUGAUCCUCUGUCCAAACAGAUUUCACACAUCAUUUAUUAGCUGCUGGACUUUGCUGUAUGGAGAAGAGCAUGCAGGCAUUGCUGGUCGUCAAAUCAGGCUGCUCCAGCUUGCUGGCCAUGAGGAAUGGCCAUGGCUGGAGCAUGUAUUUGAACUCCCUAUACCUCUGCUCUGCCUACAGAAAACUUUAUCCUAGUUUCUUUUGCUGUCGUACUUGUCAGUGGUGGUUGAUUUUUCCUUUAUCCUUCCUUCACUGUCUUCAGUCCUCUUACCUAUGGGCUUUUUUUUGUUUAUCCUCUUGUUGGAUGGUCCUGUCACCCAGCCUCCAAGGAAAAGUAUUGAUCCAUUUGAAGCUGAAGCAGCUGCCUAGGCAGGAUCUACAGAGGACUGUUCAUGUUUGUUUUGGUACUGUGGUGAAAUGCCCCUACUUUGCAUCUUGUUUUGAGAAAUAGUCAUACUUUGUGGUUUUACCGGGUGGAGAUUUUUAUUUGUGAUUUCUCCUCCAACCUACCAUUGGGAAAUACCCCCUGAAAACACUGCAAGACUACUGGCAAAGCAGGAGGAAAGUUUUACUAAAUUUUCUAAUAUUUUAAGUAUUUGAAAUUGUUGCCACAGCUGCCUCCAUCUGAGUUCUGAGGAAGGUAAGUUUCCUCAAGCAAGCUAACUCUAAUGGGGACCUUACCUGACUGAUGGGUACAGGCUGGGCUGAAAUGGGAUCCUUGACCAUGGGAGGGUAGGGGAGCCCCAUGGGAUUUGACAGGGACAGUGGGUGCCCUCAGGGGCUCAACAUUUUGUAACUGACAGUUUUCUGCACCUUUGGCUUUCAUUUCUGCCAAGAGUCACUUUGCUGACACCCACCUACAUCUGAGCUGAGUUGCUGCUGAAAGGGGCCAGGCUUUCCCACUUGUACUCAUCCAGAGUUGCUAAAAAAGUAGACACAUACUAGCAGGUUAUUGUCUGUAAAUCCCCUUGAAAAUGUAACACAAACAUAGCAAGGAUCUGUCUUCUCUUCUUGAUCCAUACACAUCUGUUUUGCAAAGGGGGUGAGGACUGAGUCAAAUAACUUCACCAUGAAGAGUCAUGCCUGCUUCCAAACUUAGCCGAACUAGGGAGCUAAACGGUUGCUUUACAUUUUAGUUUUUUGGGAGUUUUGUCUACUUGGUGGUGGUGAUAAGCUUCCAAAGAGGUUCACCCAAGUUCAUGGUCUAUAGGACUUGAAAUAAAGGCAUUUCUUAGCAGUGUUAUGACCUUGCCUCUUGAGUAACUCAGCCAUAGCAGACUUUCAUCUGUGGAACACUGAGGACCUUCCUUGAGGCUCUGAUUUAAGUCAUCUCCUGAGGGAUACCUCCUAAAAGCACAGACUUGGUCAGGAGUACAUGGCACUCAUCCAGCUCUCCUGGACCCUGACAUUGUGACUUACUGAUAGUUAUCAAGGUUAUCAGUCAAUUGAGCCAUGCCUGGUACUUCGAAAAACUCUUUAAUGUUAGUUCCUUCAUUCUUGAUGCUUCUUGUUUCUUGCUCUUAUAAAAUUGGGGGUUUUUUUUCCCCUUUUCAGUAUGAACUACCUUUAUUGAAGAGUAUCUUGGGCUUUGAUGUAAUGCACCUUAUAGUACCAUCAAAAGGGUUUUGUAGAAUAAUCUAAAUCACCACUUCUCACAGUAGUUUGGCUUUACUGACUUCAAGGGUUCAGAUGAAGCCUAGGGAUUUCUCAGUGCCAUCCUUCUUCCUCUGGGGAAUACUGACAGUUAUUCUGCAAGGAAGUCAAAUAGAUCAGUUUGCUUAAAUGUUUUGUCUGGGAUCUAAGAUGCUCUGUGUCUAUUUACUUCAUUAACUUACCUUUAUACUGUGGGAGUCCUAAAAAAUUGAGUUUCUCUUUAAAGGGGUCCUGCAAAAACAAUUAAAGUAAUUAUCGCUGUUUGUGUUAAGAGACCUGUUUUCCUUCCCUACAUGGCCCAAAUAAGAGCUUCCUGUGAUCCGAGUUCCAGCCUGGCAUGUUGCAGGAUGGAGUUCUACUGCUUCAACCACAAUUCCUUCUGUCCAACAACAUACUCUAGUAAAAAGCAUUUAAUAUCUUUUCUGAUUUAAUUAGUGAUGCCUCCAAAUGUCUUCUGAUGAGUAUCAACACCAAAGUUGUGGCUUCGCUGAAUGCUGUCUCAAUUUCUGCUGCCACUGAAUGGGAAGACUAUAAAGAAGUUUAAAAUAACUUGAUACGUUUAGUAAUUAUAGUGACAAAUCUCAAUUUUUCAAAUGAUGGAUAUGUGUCAGUCAUCAGUACCCUCAGCAGUCAGUAGGUAAUUAAGUAUCUUCUCAGCUACAAAAAUACAUAGGUUUUCACUGUAAUCCAAAAAGCUUUGAACAGUAUUUAUAGAAAAUGGAAAGCAGAAAAGGAUUGUAAAAUUAAAAAUACGUUUCUCUAUUUAUGUUUGGAAAAAAAAAAACCAAAACAAAUGAAAGAACAUAUGGCUAAUGUUUCAAUCCCAAUUGAUUUGCCAAUCAAGUCGAACUGCUGUCUUUCUAUUAUCAUUUUAAGAUGUGUAAUUUUGAAGUUCAGGAAUCCAAAAUGAUUCAUUUUCUCCGUGUCUCUUUGAACAAUAUAAGUUUUAUAACAAACUAAACCAAAUUACUUAAAACCAGAAAGGGUAUUUCCUGUCUGCACCUUGCAGUUUUCGUGCUUGUAUUAACUCUGUCUGCUCUUUUCCCUUUCUUUGUCAGCCUGCAUCAGUCCUGAAGCAACAUCCUUGGAAGGGUGUGCUGCUGGAUCCAAAGUCUGGAUGUGGUUCAAGAGUCCCAUACAGCAUUCAACUCUUAAAAAUCAUUCAAUGCAGCUGGGGACCUUCCUGCAGCUCUGGCUGGAGUGCUGCUGAUAUACUCUCAGUUUCUGCAGUCUUUGAACUUCUGGUGGCCAACCCUGUUGCCUUUCCAGCCAUGCUGGACAAACUUAAAAUGGUUGGUUGGACAUACUCAGACCAAUUGCAGGAGCCCAGCUGAUCAGCAUGUUCCCAGCAAAUUUGACAUGUCUGAAAGAUGCUGAGAUUUUGGGGCAAAUCUUUUUGGCUGUGUCUCUUUGGUUGCUGAUGGUGUCUGGGCUGUGUAUAGACAUAGGCAUCCUACACCUGGCAUAUGCAAAACUUUCAGUGCCCUUGCUGUAAAAAAAAAGAGUAAGAACAUGGCUAUGGUUGUCCCUUUGGCAAUGAUAAUAAAUGACUGAAAAUAAAAGGUGGGAAAAGCUGGGGUUCACAGACUUUCCCCAGCACCUGGGAUUCUGGAAGGGCAGAGUCUGGCACUGCAGGCAAUGAGCUCAUCACAUAAAAUGUUGUUUUCUCACCGCUUCAAGGUGAACUGGAGAGAAUCUGGGAGGCUUAGCUGUUGACAAUGAGAUGUUUUCAUGUGAUAUUCCGUUUUGAGGAGUCUGGAAAGUCAGUCUGUCCUCAAAUAUCAGAUGUCUCAGGCUCAACUGAGUAUUUUUUAGGGGUUUUGCACAAUCCAAACUCCAAGAUUUACAGAUCAAUCAGGUAUGAGAAUCAUGGCCACUUAAAUUUGAAGCUGGGCACUAAAAAUGCAGUUAUUUUUAUGCAAGCAACUGAAAAAACUCUCACAAUUUUCAACAUUAUAGACUGCUAUUAUGAUAUAUUUCUUCAGAAAAUUAGUAUGACACAUACAAACAGCUUCUUAAUUUCUCAGCACAGCCUUAUCACACUGAAUGGUCUUAAAACCACAUUGCCUUUGUUUUAGUAGAAGUCACUACAGAAAUUACUGUUAGGAAAAAACCUCUAACACAACAAAGCUUGCUGUUCAAACAUCAAUUCAUUUAAAACUUAUAACAAAGAACUAAUGAUUUAUUCAAUCAACUCUGCUUUUCUUUAGUUGUACUUAAAAUCAAAAGACUACACAUGCUCACAGUAGCAUAGCAAGUUGGGGUUACCUUCCUGUUCAAAACUGGGUCAUAUAUCACCUGACUCACUUCUGAAAUCUCAAUAGAGGAAAACUGCAUAAAACCUUACCAGAAGGAAACCAUAUCACAGAUAAACCUAUUCCUAGGACAGGUUUUGUCUUCUCACAUGAGCCUGUGCCUCAGCAGCUGCAGGUGACAUACCACCACCCUACAGUGGUAUUCACUAGCCCACUGCUUUUACAGCUGGUGCAGGCUGAUUGUCAUUGAGAUUUUGCACCUGAGGCAAGUCUGACUUGGCCAUGUAGCUUGUAAGCCCACAGAGGGGUUUAAGGGUGUUAUAUUUAAGAGAAUCACUAAAUUAAAAUCCCACUGCUCAAUUUGUAAAAUCCCCUGUGCCAGCAGGUUUCUAAUUUGUUCAGGCACUUUGGCAGAAAACAUCUUCUGGAAGUAGCUGGCAUGAUUGAAGGAGGGUAUCAGAGCAGACUGUAAAAUGUCACCUGCUACAGCAGGGUGGUCUUUUUCAUAUUUAAAAAUACAUGAAUGUGCCAGUGUGUCUCAUUGCUAUUCUGAUAUGUCCCUAUAUUUGAGUUUCAGCUAUGAAAUGCAAAUGAUGACAACAAUUUUCUGGUUAUUUAAGGGCCAAAGGCCUCGCAGUGAUAUUUCUAAUUGAGACCUGUGCGUGGUCUCAAUGUGUGCCUGAUUCUCUUUGUUGUCAGUGCUAUGCACAGCGUAUGUAAUAUUGCAAAUGGCUUCAUCCUGCACAAGGCUGAACCCUCUCACCUCUCAGUUUCUGCUGAGAGUGAAACAUGGUCCUGCUGUGCCAGAAGAAUUUAGAUUAUAUUCUGUUGGACUAAACUUUAUAUUAUUCUACUUUAGUUGCUUUUAUUUUAAGUGCAGUGGUGUACUUAUACAGCUAUGCAGUCUUAUUUAAAAAAGUAAAAGUAGGCUCCAUUUAAGAGAAUAAACGCUUGGAAUGCUGUCUUUGUUAAUUAAUUGAAGUUCGUUGUGAGGAAUAUUUAGGAUUUAAAUGUCCAAAUAUAAAGUGCUAAUUUAAAGGAUGUUUAAGUGACAGCCACAUAGCACAUAGUGUGUUGUUACAGAUAAGGCAUGAAGGUAGGAUUUGGGCUAUCUGGAUGCCACUGCCUUUUCUUUUAUACUGAAUUACUGCAUGGCUUGGGACCAAUCUGAUCCUCUCAGCAUUUGUUUGUGUUGAUCUUGACUGGGAAUACCACUGUAAUGAAUGAAAUACAUAGUUCUUUGCAAGAAUUGAAAACAGUAUUAUCAUUCAAAGGACAAAACACAAAUAUCCAGGUUUCAGGGUAAAUUGGAAAUUCAGUGCUCCUCUAGCCACACCAUCUGCUCAGGCCUACAGGCAGAGCAGACUGGUGUAGUAUCCAGAGAUAAAACAAUUUGUAGCACAAGGGAAUAAAAGUAUCUCUGCAGUGGACAGAUUAAGCUGCUUUUUUUUUUUGCAUUCUAAUCUGUUAAUCAUGCACAGGGCUUAAGUAUAGCUCAAGGCAGAGCAGACCUUGAAUGAUUUAAUUUUGUGCUAUUUAUUGAACUGGAUUUAAUUUGAAGAUAUGUUGUUACCCACUACUCAGCACUUUUUAAAAAAAAUGAAUGUCCAUAAUGAGAUUUCUGCCAUGAAUCAGGGAUUGUGUGUUUAAAAUGGGUCAUGGGGCUGGUCUUUCCAGGCUCCUGUGACAGCAGCUGCACUUACAACAGUCAUGCAGGUUAACUUUUGCAGGAUUCACUUGAGGGGCAGAUCUGGGGGCACUCCAUUUAAAGCAGCACCUACGACCCUUGUUUUUUUCAUUUUUCAUUUGCUUAAAGCAACUGCAGUCAGCAGAGAAAGCAGAGAAUGAAAAUUAAAAGAGGGAGUAAUGUUUGGAGGUGAGGGGAUGGAGUAGGAAAUCUGAACUAGGCCACUGAAGAUGGAAGUGGUGGUUCUGCCAUCCCAGGAGAGAGUCCACAGAAAUCCCUGAUGAGAAGGGCACAGGCCCCAAUUUCAGAAGCUGCAGAGGGGUAGGAUAUGAGAAUACAUAAAUGUGGUCUAGCAUUUGUAAUGCUUUUUUUGCCUAGCAUUUGUAACUGCUGACAACAUCACAAAAAAUCUGAGAGGGAAAGAAACAACCAAACAUUUACAUAUGCUUUGGGAUGAGAUUGAAAACCAGCUAAAUAAUGGAGACUAUUAAAGUGUGCUGAAAAGAAGUAUUUAUAAAUUUAAAAAAUUCUGCUUUUCUAGUUUCUGGGGGGCUGUGGGCUCCUCCUGCAAUGCUUUUACCAGAAAAGCAUUACUUGAUGAUUUUUUCCCCCUGUGUGUUUGUGUGAGUGACUUUAGAGUUGAGUGCAUCAAAUACCAGAAAAUUCACUGGCCAGGCCUGGAGAUGCUGCACUUGUUCAAGGUAGAGUCAGACAGGAGGCAUUGCAAGAUCUGGGACAAAGUGAUUUCAAAAUGAUUGGUGUCCGCACCAUGUCCUUGCUGAUGUAGUGUGCAGGAGUCCAUGUUUAUGAGAUUUACUCCUAGUUUGCAUCGAUCAUGCUGUGACAUCUGCCGCUGUUCCUUAACUCAUCUCAUACAUGGGACUUGGAGGUGCUGACCAGCAGCAAAGCCUGUCUGCUCCUUCAGGACAGCGAUUGUUGGCAGUUGUGAAUGUGGCACGUUCCUUUGGGUAGGAACAUGAGGAAAUACUUCUGCGAGGAACGUAAAAACUAAGCAGGACUAUACUCAAAUAUUAAAUACACCUGUUAGAUCAUCUGCUUCCUUGCCACAUAAGACAGUUUGCUUCAUUUAGCACAAUAAAAGAUACAGGUGUUACCUUUCAUGAUUACCUGAUUUCAAACUGGAUAGCAAAGUGGGGAAUCAGAUCCCUUGUGAACUGACCAUAUCAGGAAAGGAAGAAAGAGGUUGAAUAUAAAAUUGUCAAUGACAACCUAAUGCAUUCCUUCUUCUCUAUCUGUUUUGGAGUCAGACAAGGAGUAGUUUCAAUAGUCACCAAGAAUUCUGCCAUUUUUUCUUCUUCUCCUUCUCUCCUUAAUUUUCUCUUUGUCAUGAUCCUGGCUUUCUUAACAAAAUUCAUUUGUCUAGUAAAUGUACAUUUUUGAUAUUGUCACUGUACACCCAAGUAUUUUUCUUGGAUUUACUCAUAAAACCCUCAAGGCUGAAAGUGCUGAAAAGAGAAAGGGCACAUAAAGUAAUAUAAACCUUUUCUUUUGAACAGCCAUUAGUCCAAUACAGCUGCCAUGGAAGUCCAAUUGUCCAAGUUACUUGCUAUUACUUAGCAGUGUUUUGGACAAGUGAGAAAGGUUAUUUCUGGUUGGAUUUUUUUUGUUUGAUUUUUUUUUAUUUGUUUGUUUUUGUUUGGUUUGGUUUUUCUUUCCCAAAUUCAUUAAAAGAAUGGAGGAAUUUUAAGGGAUUUUUUGGGGUGGGAAUUAUGGCCAUCACAAGUCAAGAUGCUCCUGGAGGACCUAGACAAUUUCAUUAAAACAAACACCUAAAGAAUACUGAAAUCCAAAUCCUAGGAUGAUUACAAAAUGUAUUACAUUUCCUCUGUAAUGCAAUCAGCCUAUGGGCAGUUGGAUGCUGUAUUUGACAGCAGUCGCAGAGGAGCAUUUUCUUUUCCUCACAUCUCCAUAUUUCUUCACACCCCACCAACCUACUUUAAUCUCAGACUCAUAAAUGGCUUGGAGAUGAUUAUACUUACUCCUCUGAGUUGAUCUAUUUCCAGAAACUAGUGGCAGAAUGAGGCUUUCAGGAAAAUAAGGUGAUCUUUUCCAAGUUAGUUCCUUCUUUGGCCAUCAUAGUCUCCUCAGAAACAUGCCAUUUUUGUUGUUCCCUUUUCCUAUGGCAGUUGCACAUUUAUUUCCUCCAGUCCAAGGCACUUUAUAUUCCUCAGGAGCUUGGACAUCAGUUCAGCGUCCGUUUCUCUGGUUACAAAGGAUAAAAAAAAUAUUAUUUAGUAAUUGAUUAAGUUUCAGAAUAUAAAAAGUUGUUUAUUCUGUUCCCAAGAGUCACAGUUUCAGUUGAUCUCUUUUUAAAAAUGGCUAAUGGCACACAGAUCAAUACCUUAAGAAAAUUAAGGCUGUCAGUAACAAGACAGACACUUCAGUGAGUCUUCUUUUGCUUUUAUGAUAAUCACUUUAUGAGCCUCUGCACACACUCUCUUGUCAAAGUUUGCAUUUUUUCACCCAGAUGAGUAAAUUAAGGGAUAAUAUGUCUGACCCCUCAUGCCCAUCCUGUUUUCACUUCAAAUGCUGGGCAAGACUGGACUUACAGCUAAUUUGAGUGACCUGAGGGGCAGUUGCCUUUGGCUGCUCCAAUUUUACAUGUUGGCACUUGGCCUAAGCUUCACAGAAUGGUUGAGGCUGGAAGGAAACUCUGUAAAUCUUCUGGUCCAACACCACUUAAUCUUCUAACUUGUUUUUGUGCAUCUAUGUAGGAAGCAUUUGCAGCUGAGCUGAUUACCCUGUCUACCCUCCUCAGUCACUGGAGAGAAAGUGGCCAUCUGAAGGUGCUGUUUGUUUGCACAAGUACCAAGUUUUGACUGCAGAGAGAGCCCUAUGCCAAAGCAGACGUCUGCACUGGGAAUGUCAAAUUGCAGCAGAUUUGUCCUCUCUCAUCUUUGUAUUUACCUUUUAAACUCUCCUGACACAGCUCUAUGAACCCUUUGUGUUCAGCUUACUGCUGAACUAGAACAUUUCACCCAUGAAGACUGGGUUGAAUCUGCAUUGCCCUGUCUGAACUAGUUCACAUUUUAUAAAUGUUUUGAAAUUCCAGCUAAGUGAUGAUGGCAGACUUUGGCCAUGCAUCUUCAGAUCUAGUGCUUUCUUACGAGGAGUCCUUAAAGAAAUCAAAAAGGCAUGUCCAUACAUGUCAGAGAGGACAAAUAUAGUCCAAGAAAUCUCUUGGUGGGCAGAGUGGAAAUGGGAUACUAUCACACUUUUGGUAUGUCCAUCCCUACUUACACUCAGGUGUACCUUCAGUAAUUUACUUGCCUCUUUCAGCCAAGUCAUUUUUUUCUGACUCAUGAAAGACAGAGUCCAGUGCUUCUUCCUUCUUCACCACCCUUUAAAAAAGAGCAAUCUGUUUCUAUUUGUAUUACCUUGAAAUAACUUAAUUUGCCAAAUACACUGAGCAAUAUCCCCAUCCCAGAUGUAGCUUGUGCACUUAACCCAAGUAAUUGCAGCCUUCUCUAAGAAUCUGCUCUGUCUUUGCCAAAGAGAGAGCAUAUUUCCUGUUCAUGUGAGGAAGUUUCCAGUAUUUUUAACUAAAAGUGUCCUACUGGGUUCAUACCCUUAGACUGGAGGAGGCAAAAUCCUCUUCCUGCCCCCAGGCAGGCUCUCUCUGACUCCUGCCACACGCAGAGCAGAUUGAAUAUGAGGUGCAUGUCUCGGCCUGUGCAGCGUGAGCUGGGCUUCUGCUGGUUUAUGCUGGAGACCCACCUUCAGCAAAGCAAAGCACUCUCCGUGCUUUUUCCACUCUCUUCUGUAGUUGUAGUAUCAAUUUCCUUGUGUUUUGUAUGCAAUAAUUAAAUUUCAGCAUUUGUUUAAAUGACCAACUUGAACUUUUUUGAUAAGAACUUCUUUCAAGUACCUGAAUAUUUGCCUGCCUUCAGGUAUCAGAUCAUCAUAUUUCAUGGUGUUGAGCUUCCUUAUCUUAGUUCUAGGAUUCUUAGAAGCUGCCCCAAUUUAUUGCCAUCUGCUUUUUGGUCAACAACUUCAUUGCACUGCUGACUGAUUUUCUUGCUCUUUGUUACAGUUUUUCAAUUUUCAUCUCUUCCUCCUUUUUUUUUUUUUUUGCAUUGACAUUUCAUGUUUUAUCUAGCCAGUAUUAAGCUGGCUUCUCUCCUAGUUUGACUUGCUUAGAAGGCAUCUCUUCUUUUAUAGCUUCUCCUUGCACAACUUCCUUCCAGAGGGUAGCAGGAGAGUCUAAUUUAAGCAUGUGUGGCUUAAUGCCUAGGUGCAAUUUAGUGGAUAUUUGUUAUAUUGCUCUCCUUUGAAGUCAGGCCACCUGAACUAUUGCCAGCUUCUGCUGAAAGUAUUUACCAAGCCAGGUGACAGCUGCCAGAUGACCGGAUGAAAAGCAAAAUAAAUUAAGAAACUAGAAAGUAGAUACAGAAAACAAAAAUAAACAAAGCAACCCCAAACUUUAUUGGCUAUCUGUGUUUAAGGAGAUUCCCAAGGUCCUCUUUUUGUUUUGUUCAACCAGGAGCUGCCAGGACAUGUCUGCAGCUGGCUGGAGGCAGGAGCUGAUUACUUUGACAACCUGUGUGCUCUGGCACUAUCCCCUGAGCUACAACCUGCUGUUUACAGCAAAGCUUUUCCAAUGAAUUUUUUUGGCACACUGGUGAUUCAGCUGAAUAUAAACACACUUCUGGAGACAUCCUGUAUCCCACGGUCAUGACACUUCAGUUCUAAACACAGUCGUAAUUUAUGGCUGCCCAAUUUGUGAAACACUGUCUCAGAUAGCAUUAGCUUGUGAUCUGCCACUGUGCUUUGGAGAGUCCAGGCUGGCCACCUGGCCUGCCCUCUGUUAGUAUCAACUUACCAAUAGAUGGGUUAAUUACCUUGUGCAAUUACCUUGUACCUCUUCUGACAAAGAGGCUAACCAGGACCUGAAUUUAUGAGAAUCUAAGCACAUAAAUUUUCUAUAUUGCAGGCCUCAACAGCUACUUAUUUUACGAUGGUUUCAAUGAGAACAAGAAACACAGCUUGUAACUAGCUUUAGACAGUGAGUAAUUACUGUAAGUUGGGGAUUGUUACCACUACAGCUUGCACGGUCCCUUUUUUGCUAACAGGAAGAUGACAAGUUUGAAGGGGCUUGUGAAUUUGAAAGUGAUAAAAUGAGGUGCUCUUCCUUAAAAGGAUUAGAGUUCCAUUUUAGUGUUAUAAAGAAGAACUAAGUCCAAUUAAAUUACCCAGGUGUGCCAGCCUCAGAAGAAAAUUCAUGUAUUUACAACCAGGCAGGGCAGGAAUGACUGGUCUUCAGACAAGUUAAGUACUUGUGGGACCUAUAGGAAUACAAAUUACUAAAGUAUACAUAAUUAUAAGAACAACCUACAACAUACUCUGGAACCCACAACCUUUUUACAGCUUUUCUGCUGUUUGUGGCAGUGAAAAAUAUGUUUCCAAAUUGUUAGGAUAUAUCACAACAAAUGAUGGCAGCUCCAGACAGAUUAAAACCUUUCUCUGAAACCUUGCAGAACUAAACAUUUGCUCCCCCAAAGCCCUUAAUUCUCAGAACUUCUCCACCCAUAAGCAUGCUAGGAUUAUGAGGAUUUUUAUUAUAUAAAAAAUAAUCACAGCUAGGAACUUGCACGAAAAAUAGAAGGAAAAAAAUAGAGAAUAACUUUGACAGAAGCUUAUCCAUAUCUAACUCCUUUCUGUGUUUUCCAGAUGGCAUCCAUAUUAUCACUUGUUAUGGAAGUCAUAUUGAUGAUGUCCUAAAUCUGUCUUUCAAUUGUCUUGCUGUGCUUGAUGCUGAUGUGGGCUUGUCCUAGUUAGAAUUCUUGAUAUUGUAAGAAGAGUAUUCUCUGAGGAUUUCCUCGGAUCAUUUACUUUGGAAUAAAUCAGUCUUUCUUAAUAGACACCCUAGUGGUUUUCCGUUCCGUGUCCCCUCACCGAAAAAGUAUGAAGUCUGCACUGAAAGCAUCUAUUUCUGAGAGAGACAUUCUUAAUUUAUGAAGGUGAUUUGUUGCUUAGACAGUAAUUUCUCAUUGCCUAUCUAGAUAAGUGACUACUUUUUUCUUGCUGUUCCUGUAAUACUAUGCAUUCAGGUGUUCUGGAAUGCAUCUAGCAUAUAUUUUGAUUUCUUUUCUUGAAGAACAAAUUUUUUAUUUGCAUUGAGUAAUAUUUUUGACAGAUCAGGGCAUUCAUAAUAAUUAAGAUAAUCCAAAGAAGUCCAUCUGCUUACUACAGUCACCCUCUUCAUGGCUAGCAGUGUGGAAACAAUACUGCAGUUAGGGUGAGGUGCAUCACACUCCUAAUUCUGGAAAAGUUAGCACUGGCAGGUGCCACGCUCUGUGAGUACAGCCUGUGCCCAAGCUAGUAAGGCCUACUAGCACCCAAACUGCCACACAGAGCUCACUACUUUAGGCAGUAUGGAGACAGUCCGUAAGUGGAAGGGCAUCACGGAAUCGUGCAUGUCAUCUCUACAAAGAAGCACUUCAGUGUUGUAUUUCUGGGCUCCUUACAGCACUGUGCUCCUCAGUGCAGCUGGAGUGUGGUCUAGACACAUCUGGGUGAGUUAUGUGUAGAAACCUAUUUGAACCUGAUGGGUUCCUGUCAUUCACUUGAGGUCAGAGUCAUGGAAAAGUGUCUGCAUUGUCUCUGGACUCUGAUUCCCAGAGCAGUGUAGCUACAUUCCUGUCUGGUACCCAAGCUGGUAAGACAUGCAUGAAACCAACCUGUACAUCCCUGCACCUGCAGAACUCUUCUGUGUCAGACAGUAGAAAGGGGCAAGCACACUGUGGACCUUCCAGCCACUCCUGGUAGCCUGCUUAGUGGCUCUGUACAGAGCUCAGGACAUUUUUAAGAAACUGCUUGUCUCUUCACUUGUUUUGCUUUCAUGAAGCUUGCUUCAGUCUUCUUUCUUCUGCUGCUUCCUGCUAAGCAGUUUUGCUCUUGCUGUUAUUCUGCCAGCUUUAUCAGUAGUUCUCUCAUGUUUUUACAUAUUUUCAUUUUCACAGCUGCUGUUAUGAAACUGAAGCAGCUCUUCAGAUGCUGAAACACUGAGUGUUUCUGUCUUUUAUGCUGAAACAUUGAGUAUUUUUUUCUUUUACUGGUGGGCUACUAAAGAGGUGUCUCUUGCUCCUCUCCAUUUCAGUGAGUUUCCACCGACAUGCCAGUGUUAUGACUACGUUUGGCAGCCAAUGGUGCACGUACAUUUGCCAGUAAUUGUUAGAUUUUCCUCAAGUGUCUUUUUGCAGCACACUCUGGAGAGUUUCAAGGCCUUAUGUAUCUGUAAGUAGAACUCCAUGAACCAACAGUGUAUUCACACAGCAACAUCCGACUUAAUCAUUCACCAUUUUUAUUAGACUCACAGCCAGUCCAAACAUGCCCAAGAGUUUAACAUCAUUGUUAUUUUGCAUUAAAAUUGUUACCUAGGCACUAUAUGUCAUCUCUAAAGACUGCAAGGAACACAUGCUGUAGCAAGCUAUAACAAGAACCUUCACCUUUACUAUUUUUAAAAUAGGUUUUCAAUAUUGUAUGUUUGCUUUUUAUUUUCCUGGUGUAGAAAUAAACUCUAGUAGUUCUUAAACUGCGUGGUUCUCCCUGCAUCAAUUCUGCUUCUGUUUCCAACAGCACUGAGACAGCACUGCCAGAUUUCUGUCACUAAAAUUCUGGAAGUUGAUGACAGUGAUUUUUGAUGUAUAAUUUGCUCAAACUGGGCCACCUGCUAAUAGUAAUUUUAAGGAUAUUAAAAGUUCUCUAUUUUACCAGAA
Corvus hawaiiensis (hawaiian crow) is the source of this 14118-nucleotide long non-coding RNA. RefSeq lists it as uncharacterized. The transcript has 2 exons. Lineage: Eukaryota; Metazoa; Chordata; Aves; Passeriformes; Corvidae. The record is from RefSeq and is a predicted model, not a curated record.